GUGAAUCAUCGAAUCUUUGAACGCACAUUGCGCCCAUUAGUAUUCUAGUGGGCAUGCCUGUUCGAGCGUCAUUUCCACCUUCGAACCUACGGGUUUGGUGUUGGGGUUCUUGCGCCUGCAAACCCCAAAAGCCAGUGGCGGGCUCGUUGCGACCCCAAGCGUAGUAAUUCACCUCGUUUAGGGCGUCCGACGGUGCUCUGCCGUUAAAAUCGUACUCUGUACCAAAGAUUGACCUCGGAUCAGGUAGGAAUACCCGCUGAACUUAAGCAUAUCAAUAAGCGGAGGA
Molecule: unclassified non-coding RNA, 286 nt
Filed under: Sordariomycetes sp.
Lineage: Eukaryota; Fungi; Ascomycota; Sordariomycetes
Description: partial contains 5.8S ribosomal RNA, internal transcribed spacer 2, and large subunit ribosomal RNA
Rfam family: 5.8S ribosomal RNA (bases 1-71)
Source: RNAcentral